GAUGAACGCUGGCGGCGUGCCUAAUACAUGCAAGUCGAGCGAACAGAUGAGGAGCUUGCUCCUCUGACGUUAGCGGCGGACGGGUGAGUAACACGUGGAUAACCUACCUAUAAGACUGGGAUAACUUCGGGAAACCGGAGCUAAUACCGGAUAAUAUAUUGAACCGCAUGGUUCAAUAGUGAAAGACGGUUUUGCUGUCACUUAUAGAUGGAUCCGCGCCGCAUUAGCUAGUUGGUAAGGUAACGGCUUACCAAGGCAACGAUGCGUAGCCGACCUGAGAGGGUGAUCGGCCACACUGGAACUGAGACACGGUCCAGAUUCCUACGGGAGGCAGCAGUAGGGAAUCUUCCGCAAUGGGCGAAAGCCUGACGGAGCAACGCCGCGUGAGUGAUGAAGGUCUUCGGAUCGUAAAACUCUGUUAUUGGGGAAGAACAAAUGUGUAAGUAACUAUGCACGUCUUGACGGUACCUAAUCAGAAAGCCACGGCUAACUACGUG
Molecule: ribosomal RNA, 497 nt
Filed under: uncultured bacterium
Lineage: Bacteria
Description: partial 16S ribosomal RNA
Rfam family: Bacterial small subunit ribosomal RNA
Source: RNAcentral